UAUCCGUCACCCGCCAGCGAGAGUUCGCCCGCGGGUGCGUUUUGUG
This 46-nucleotide small RNA is filed under the name Rhodomicrobium vannielii ATCC 17100. RNAcentral describes it as "ffh sRNA". The stretch from base 8 to 46 matches the Rfam family "ffh sRNA", at positions 16 to 52 of the family's 52-position model. Lineage: Bacteria; Pseudomonadati; Pseudomonadota; Alphaproteobacteria; Hyphomicrobiales; Hyphomicrobiaceae. The record is from Rfam by way of RNAcentral.